RNAcentral lists this ribosomal RNA (253 nucleotides) under uncultured bacterium. RNAcentral's name for it is "partial 16S ribosomal RNA". It matches the Rfam family "Bacterial small subunit ribosomal RNA", at positions 524 to 776 of the family's 1533-position model. The record is from RNAcentral.
GACGAAGGAUGCAAGCGUUAUCCGGAUUCAUUGGGUUUAAAGGGUGCGUAGGUGGAUUUGUAAGUCAGUGGUGAAAUCUCUCAGCUUAACUGAGAAACUGCCAUUGAUACUGCAGAUCUUGAGUACAGAUGAUGUGGGCGGAAUAUGACAUGUAGUGGUGAAAUACUUAGAUAUGUCAUAGAACACCGAUUGCGAAGGCAGCUCACAAAACUGUAACUGACACUGAGGCACGAAAGUGCGGGGAUCAAACAGG